This 394-nucleotide ribosomal RNA is filed under the name uncultured Massilia sp. RNAcentral's name for it is "bacterial SSU rRNA". It matches the Rfam family "Bacterial small subunit ribosomal RNA", at positions 202 to 588 of the family's 1533-position model. The record is from RNAcentral. Lineage: Bacteria; Pseudomonadati; Pseudomonadota; Betaproteobacteria; Burkholderiales; Oxalobacteraceae.
UCGGACCUUGUGCUCCUGGAGCGGCCGAUAUCUGAUUAGCUAGUUGGUGAGGUAAAGGCUCACCAAGGCUACGAUCAGUAGCUGGUCUGAGAGGACGACCAGCCACACUGGAACUGAGACACGGUCCAGACUCCUACGGGAGGCAGCAGUGGGGAAUUUUGGACAAUGGGCGAAGGGCCUGGAUCCAGCAAUGCCUUGUGAGUGAAGAAGGGCUUCGGGUUGUAAAGCUUUUUUGUCAGGGAAGAAACGGGGAGGGCUAAUAUCCUUCACUAAUGACGGUACCCUGAAGAAUAAGCACCGGCUAACUACGUGCCAACAGCCGCGGUAAUACGUAGGGGGCGAGCGUUAAUCCGAAUUACUGGCGCGUAAAGCGUGCCCAGGCCGUUUUUUAAGU